Long non-coding RNA from Actinia tenebrosa (Australian red waratah sea anemone), 282 nucleotides. The record is from RefSeq and is a predicted model, not a curated record. Lineage: Eukaryota; Metazoa; Cnidaria; Anthozoa; Actiniaria; Actiniidae.
GUCUUUUCAAAAGUCAAAUUAGAUGUUAUCUGGUUACCUGGGCAAAUGAGUCCGAGGUCGUCAAAAACAAUGGCAUGCAUCAAAGCAGAAGGAUUUGUAAGAACUUCCUGCAUGAAUGCUGCCACAGUCAAAGGACCAGUCACCUUCAAUAAAUUGCUACAAACAGCUUGUGAUCUACUAAAAACUUUGGAAAAUGAUGAAGAACAUUUCCACAUCACUUCGACCGCCAUGUUGGACGAGCAGCAUUAUGGAAGCCUGAGAACUAGAAACCACAGGUAACCC